Molecule: ribosomal RNA, 371 nt
Filed under: uncultured bacterium
Lineage: Bacteria
Description: bacterial SSU rRNA
Rfam family: Bacterial small subunit ribosomal RNA
Source: RNAcentral
GUAGGUGGCAAGCGUUGUCCGGAAUUAUUGGGCGUAAAGCGCGCGCAGGCGGUCCUUUAAGUCUGAUGUGAAAGCCCACGGCUCAACCGUGGAGGGUCAUUGGAAACUGGGGAACUUGAGUGCAGAAGAGGAAAGCGGAAUUCCACGUGUAGCGGUGAAAUGCGUAGAGAUGUGGAGGAACACCAGAGGCGAAGGCGGCUUUCUGGUCUGUAACUGACGCUGAGGCGCGAAAGCGUGGGGAGCAAACAGGAUUAGAUACCCUGGUAGUCCACGCCGUAAACGAUGAGUGCUAAGUGUUAGAGGGUUUCCGCCCUUUAGUGCUGCAGCUAACGCAUUAAGCACUCCGCCUGGGGAGUACGGCCGCAAGGCUG